CUCGGUUCUGGCUGCUCCCCCUGGGUCUCCUUCUGAGACUGGCAGGGGUUUGGAGCUGCCUCGGUUCCUGAAUAGGUUGCACCUCUCUGGUUGAGGCCUUAAAACUCAUCCCAAGGCAAGUUUCUCAACCUGUGACCCAAUCACUUCAGAAUCACUUGUGUAACUUGGUAACAACACUGCUUCCUCCCUGCCCCCAUUUAUAGGAUUAGAACAGAGGAGAGGGAAUGGGCCUCAUAGCCAGCACCCGGUCAAGUCCUAUGUAUAGAGUACUCGAAGAUCUGUUGUAGGCGGUGGACUUUGGAUGGGAGUUCAAAUCCCGGCUCGGCGCAGGCAGUGGUGUGGCUUGGAAUGCUUCCUAACCUCUGUGAGGCAACGCUCUCCCAGGCCAGCCUGGACAAAGAGUUCUUGAAAAGUUUCAGCCACUUCUGAUGGAUCAGUCACCUCGGAAACUUUCCCCAGCUCUUCUGCGUCCACCAGUUCUGCUCUCAGCGCACACAAUGGACAGGGACAGAACAAUGCCUAGG
RNAcentral lists this long non-coding RNA (524 nucleotides) under Fukomys damarensis (Damara mole-rat). Its description in RNAcentral is "lncRNA (ENSFDAG00000026938.1)". The record is from RNAcentral. Lineage: Eukaryota; Metazoa; Chordata; Mammalia; Rodentia; Bathyergidae.